UACGUAGGGGGCAAGCGUUAUCCGGAUUUACUGGGUGUAAGGGGAGCGUAGACGGCGAUGCAAGCCAGAUGUGAAAGCCCGGGGCUCAACCCCGGGACUGCAUUUGGAACUGUGUGGCUGGAGUGUCGGAGAGGCAGGCGGAAUUCCUAGUGUAGCGGUGAAAUGCGUAGAUAUUAGGAGGAACACCAGUGGCGAAGGCGGCCUGCUGGACGAUGACUGACGUUGAGGCUCGAAAGCGUGGGGAGCAAACAGG
RNAcentral lists this ribosomal RNA (253 nucleotides) under uncultured bacterium. RNAcentral describes it as "partial 16S ribosomal RNA". It matches the Rfam family "Bacterial small subunit ribosomal RNA", at positions 524 to 776 of the family's 1533-position model. The record is from RNAcentral.